Molecule: ribosomal RNA, 216 nt
Filed under: uncultured Glomus
Lineage: Eukaryota; Fungi; Glomeromycota; Glomeromycetes; Glomerales; Glomeraceae
Description: partial small subunit ribosomal RNA
Rfam family: Eukaryotic small subunit ribosomal RNA
Source: RNAcentral
AGCAGCCGCGGUAAUUCCAGCUCCAAUAGCGUAUAUUAAAGUUGUUGCAGUUAAAAAGCUCGUAGUUGAAUUUCGGGAUCGACAGGUUGGUCGCGCCUUCGGUGUGUACUGGUCUCGUCGGUUUCUCCCUUCUGACGAGCCACGAUGUCAUUAAUUUGGUGUCGUGGGGAAUCAGGACUGUUACUUUGAAAAAAUUAGAGUGUUUAAAGCAGGCAU